RNAcentral lists this non-coding RNA (31 nucleotides) under Mus musculus (house mouse). Lineage: Eukaryota; Metazoa; Chordata; Mammalia; Rodentia; Muridae. The record is from RNAcentral.
UGGGUGGCUUUCUGUCUCCACAUGAGAUAUA